RNAcentral lists this long non-coding RNA (1430 nucleotides) under Homo sapiens (human). RNAcentral's name for it is "HSALNT0183157". The record is from RNAcentral. Lineage: Eukaryota; Metazoa; Chordata; Mammalia; Primates; Hominidae.
UUCAUACUUCACUAGCAAGGGAUAUGAAUGGAGAAAGAUAACUCCAUAAAAUAAGCAAAUUACCAGAUACAAAGGCACAGUUCUCAUCUUCCAUGCGAUGGAGCCACAUCCCCUGGCCUGAAAGAACAACAGCAACCACAAAACUCAGAUGAGGAGUUCUAGAAAUUAAAUGUCAACCUCAUUUAACUCUCAUAUCAUAAAGUGGAUUUAUCUCCACUUCAAAAUCAGAAAAUAGGAUUAGAGAGUUAAUUAAUGUGCCCAUGUUCUCACAGGCUUUAACUGUUGGAGUCACAGAUUGUGAUUAGUAAGGAGCUCUGCGACAUGUUUCACGGGAUCACAACUUGAAGAUUACACCUCAAGUUGCAGAACAAAUGCCUAAUUAUCCAUCAGACCAGCCACAGAGAUAAUUUUAUUUAUUUCUGUGAUGAACAGCUAAUUCUUACUUCAAUAUUUACUGAAGACCUACUUUGUGCUUGGCAAUUUUUUAUUACUGGAGGUACAGUUGUAAAUGAGAAGAUAAGCAUUCUUAUGGAACUCACUCUAAAUAAAAUGAAUAUAUAGGAUGCAUAGUUUAUCAGACAGUUACAAGUACUGUAGAGAAAAAAUAGAGUGAGAAAGGGAGGUGAAAAAAUAACUAAAGAAAUAAACAAAUAUAUUUUUAUCAAGCCAUUUUAUGUGUGGAGGAGAAAAAUAGAGCAAAGAAGAGGCCUAGGUGGGGCUGGAGUGUUGAGGGAAGCCUCCUCUCUGGAGAGAGUGUUUAGACCAAGACUUACAGAAGAUAAAGAAGGAGAAGGCGAAUAUCUGUGGGAUGAGCCUUGAAGGCUGAGGAAAAACCAAGUGCAAAGCCCCCAAGGUGGGGAAUGUCCAGCCUGUCCAAGGAAACACGAGAACUUGUCCCUCUGAGCAAAGUGAACUAUGGAGGCUGCAGUGGAGAGUGUAUCAGAAAGGACAGCGCAUAUCCUACUGCUCUUUGUAGGCCCUGAUGUGGAAACUCAAAUAAAGAGAGGUGAAAGAGUCCCCAGGACAACACAAAAAGGUGACAGAGCCACUGAAUUUAAAUCCAUACCCUCUAAUUCAAGGAAAUGAAAGAAGAGUUUUGAAGAGACAGCUGCCCUCCAUGCUCACGGCAGCAUCAUUCAAAACAGCUAAGAUGAAGAAACAACUAAAAAAGUCUGUUGAGAAAUGAAUAAAGAAAUACAAUAAUUUGUUUUUUUCUUCUUCCCACUUUCAACUUGUGAGACCCCAUCACUGCCUUUUGGACUCUUGCUUCUUUUCUGAUUCAUGUUCCUGUUCACCAUCACCUGCCCCACAGCACCCUCACAGGAAAAGAAAAAAAAAAGCCAAAACAAAACCGAUCUCUUUGUUCACUGGAUCAAAAGUCUUUUAUUAUAGUGCAUUCAGACAUUCAGAAUACAUAUAUGAGGCCUGCU